GAUGAACGCUGGCGACGUGCCUAAUACAUGCAAGUCGAGCGAACGGACGAGAAGCUUGCUUCUCUGAUGUUAGCGGCGGACGGGUGAGUAACACGUGGAUAACCUACCUAUAAGACUGGGAUAACUUCGGGAAACCGGAGCUAAUACCGGAUAAUAUUUUGAACCGCAUGGUUCAAAGGUGAAAGACGGUCUUGCUGUCACUUAUAGAUGGAUCCGCGCUGCAUUAGCUAGUUGGUAAGGUAACGGCUUACCAAGGCAACGAUGCAUAGCCGACCUGAGAGGGUGAUCGGCCACACUGGAACUGAGACACGGUCCAGACUCCUACGGGAGGCAGCAGUAGGGAAUCUUCCGCAAUGGGCGAAAGCCUGACGGAGCAACGCCGCGUGAGUGAUGAAGGUCUUCGGAUCGUAAAACUCUGUUAUUAGGGAAGAACAUAUGUGUAAGUAACUGUGCACAUCUUGACGGUACCUAAUCAGAAAGCCACGGCUAACUACGUG
This 497-nucleotide ribosomal RNA is filed under the name uncultured bacterium. RNAcentral's name for it is "partial 16S ribosomal RNA". It matches the Rfam family "Bacterial small subunit ribosomal RNA", at positions 28 to 507 of the family's 1533-position model. The record is from RNAcentral.